GGGGGAUAUUGCACAAUGGGGGAAACCCUGAUGCAGCGACGCCGCGUGUAGGAAGACGGUCCUCUGGAUUGUAAACUACUGUCUUCAGGGACGAAAAUGACGGUACCUGAGGAGGAAGCCACGGCUAACUACGUGCCAGCAGCCGCGGUAAUACGUAGGUGGCGAGCGUUGUCCGGAAUUACUGGGUGUAAAGGGAGCGUAGGCGGGGCGACAAGUUGGACGUUAAAUAUAUGGGCUCAACUCAUAUCAGCGUUCAAAACUGUAGUUCUUGAGUGAAGUAGAGGCAGGCGGAAUUCCUAGUGUAGCGGUGAAAUGCGUAGAUAUUAGGAGGAACACCAGUGGCGAAGGCGGCCUGCUGGGCUUUUACUGACGCUGAGGCUCGAAAGUGUGGGGAGCAAAC
This 400-nucleotide ribosomal RNA is filed under the name uncultured bacterium. RNAcentral describes it as "bacterial SSU rRNA". It matches the Rfam family "Bacterial small subunit ribosomal RNA", at positions 356 to 773 of the family's 1533-position model. The record is from RNAcentral.